This 38-nucleotide non-coding RNA is filed under the name Schistosoma mansoni. Lineage: Eukaryota; Metazoa; Platyhelminthes; Trematoda; Strigeidida; Schistosomatidae. The record is from RNAcentral.
AUUUAUGUCCCAAAUAGGACGAAACGCGCGUCCUGGAU